AUGACCUACAAAUUGACAGACG
RNAcentral lists this microRNA (22 nucleotides) under Cavia porcellus (domestic guinea pig). RNAcentral's name for it is "cpo-miR-215-5p". Its record names the gene cpo-miR-215-5p. Lineage: Eukaryota; Metazoa; Chordata; Mammalia; Rodentia; Caviidae. The record is from miRBase by way of RNAcentral.